GACGAACGCUGGCGGCGUGCUUAACACAUGCAAGUCGAACGGAAAGGCCCUGCUUUUGUGGGGUGCUCGAGUGGCGAACGGGUGAGUAACACGUGAGUAACCUGCCCUUGACUUUGGGAUAACUUCAGGAAACUGGGGCUAAUACCGGAUAGGAGCUCCUGCUGCAUGGUGGGGGUUGGAAAGUUUCGGCGGUUGGGGAUGGACUCGCGGCUUAUCAGCUUGUUGGUGGGGUAGUGGCUUACCAAGGCUUUGACGGGUAGCCGGCCUGAGAGGGUGACCGGCCACAUUGGGACUGAGAUACGGCCCAGACUCCUACGGGAGGCAGCAGUGGGGAAUAUUGCACAAUGGGCGGAAGCCUGAUGCAGCAACGCCGCGUGCGGGAUGACGGCCUUCGGGUUGUAAACCGCUUUCGCCUGUGACGAAGCGUGAGUGACGGUAAUGGGUAAAGAAGCACCGGCUAACUACGUGCCAGCAGCCGCGGUGAUACGUAGGGUGCGAGCGUUGUCCGGAUUUAUUGGGCGUAAAGGGCUCGUAGGUGGUUGAUCGCGUCGGAAGUGUAAUCUUGGGGCUUAACCCUGAGCGUGCUUUCGAUACGGGUUGACUUGAGGAAGGUAGGGGAGAAUGGGAUUCCUGGUGGAGCGGUGGAAUGCGCAGAUAUCAGGAGGAACACCAGUGGCGAAGGCGGUUCUCUGGGCCUUUCCUGACGCUGAGGAGCGAAAGCGUGGGGAGCGAACAGGCUUAGAUACCCUGGUAGUCCACGCUGUAAACGGUGGGUACUAGGUGUGGGGUCCAUUCCACGGGUUCCGUGCCGUAGCUAACGCUUUAAGUACCCCGCCUGGGGAGUACGGCCGCAAGGCUAAAACUCAAAGGAAUUGACGGGGCCCCGCACAAGCGGCGGAGCAUGCGGAUUAAUUCGAUGCAACGCGUAGAACCUUACCUGGGUUUGACAUGGAUCGGGAGUGCUCAGAGAUGGGUGUGCCUCUUUUGGGGUCGGUUCACAGGUGGUGCAUGGCUGUCGUCAGCUCGUGUCGUGAGAUGUUGGGUUAAGUCCCGCAACGAGCGCAACCCUUGUUCACUGUUGCCAGCACGUUAUGGUGGGGACUCAGUGGAGACCGCCGGGGUCAACUCGGAGGAAGGUGGGGAUGACGUCAAGUCAUCAUGCCCCUUAUGUCCAGGGCUUCACGCAUGCUACAAUGGCUGGUACAGAGAGUGGCGAGCCUGUGAGGGUGAGCGAAUCUCGGAAAGCCGGUCUCAGUUCGGAUUGGGGUCUGCAACUCGACCUCAUGAAGUCGGAGUCGCUAGUAAUCGCAAAUCAGCAACGCUGCGGUGAAUACGUUCCCGGG
RNAcentral lists this ribosomal RNA (1343 nucleotides) under uncultured bacterium. RNAcentral's name for it is "16S ribosomal RNA". It matches the Rfam family "Bacterial small subunit ribosomal RNA", at positions 28 to 1378 of the family's 1533-position model. The record is from RNAcentral.